This 254-nucleotide ribosomal RNA is filed under the name uncultured bacterium. RNAcentral's name for it is "partial 16S ribosomal RNA". It matches the Rfam family "Bacterial small subunit ribosomal RNA", at positions 524 to 776 of the family's 1533-position model. The record is from RNAcentral.
UACGGGGGGAGCAAGCGUUGUUCGGAUUUACUGGGCGUAAAGGGCGCGUAGGCGGUCAGCACAAGUCAGUUGUGAAAUCCCCGGGCUCAACCCGGGAACUGCGUCCGAUACUGGAAGGCUUGAAUCCGGGAGAGGGAUGCGGAAUUCCAGGUGUAGCGGUGAAAUGCGUAGAUAUCUGGAGGAACACCGGUGGCGAAGGCGGCAUCCUGGACCGGCAUUGACGCUGAGGCGCGAAAGCCAGGGGAGCAAACGGG